Molecule: long non-coding RNA, 699 nt
Organism: Cyclopterus lumpus (lumpfish)
Lineage: Eukaryota; Metazoa; Chordata; Actinopteri; Perciformes; Cyclopteridae
Exons: 3
Source: RefSeq, a predicted model, not a curated record
GAGAUGCCUCAGAGGCCCGUCGCUCCGCUAUGUGAGUCACAGACAGGAAGUUCCCCGUCGAGCACACAGACAGACAAACUGCUGCCGAGUGUAACUGCUGCCCGAGAAAAAUGAAAGCUCAGAUUUGGUUCCUGCUCUUCGCCUUCAUGGCGGUCGGACUUCAGGCGACGACUACCGCUCCCCAGGAGAGCCAAGUUCUCGAAGAGGAAGUGGCCAUGAUGGAGAUUAUGGGGGACGGUUGGACCGACUCUGAGCCGGAGACGAUGAUGACGAUUAAGCCUCAGAGGUUGUGAGAGGUCACGCGAGCCUUCUUCACCCGUCACGGGGAUGUGGUUCAGGCUGCCGCCGCGUGAAAUGGGUCUCCGGUUCGAUUCCCUUACCGCGCUUUCUUUUUACACACUGUUGCGCAACGUUAGACGCAUUCAGGCGGCUCCCUCUUUAAAUGCAAACUAUUCUUAUUGUUUAAAACAACUUGUUGUUGAGAAAUGACAUUUAAACCCUCGGUUCUCUGUCAUUAUUUUACUUAUAUUAAAAAAGGGUUAUUUUCUUUUUCUUUCUUUAUUUAGGGAUUGAUUAUUGUUCGUUUGAUUUUGUCAAACCUCAGGGUUGCUCUUUUUCUCCCUUAAUUAUUUACUUUCUUGGUUAUUUGUUUCAUCAUCGUUGUUACUUUGGAGCACAUUAAAAAAGCCAUGAUCUAAA